This is a long non-coding RNA of Bactrocera neohumeralis, 2707 nucleotides long. RefSeq lists it as uncharacterized. The record is from RefSeq and is a predicted model, not a curated record. The transcript is spliced from 2 exons. NCBI's taxonomy places the organism in Eukaryota, Metazoa, Arthropoda, Insecta, Diptera, Tephritidae.
CAACGUCAGUUUACACAGCCGUUUUAGUUUAGCGGGGAUACCAAAUUCAGACAUCGCGGCAUAAAGGCAGCUCCUUUUCGUGCUGUCGAAAGCAGCUUUGAAAUCGACGAAGAGGUGGUGUGUGUCGAUUCUCCUUUCACGGGUCUUUUCCAAGAUUUGGCGCAUGGUGAAUAUCUGGUCGGUUGUUGAUUUUGCAGGUCUAAAGCCACACUGAUAAAACCCAAUCAGAUUGUUGACGGUGGGCUUUAAUAUUUCACACAAUACGCUCGAUAGAACCUUAUACGCGAUGUUGAGGAGGCUUAUUGCACGGUAGUUGGCUCAGAUUGUGGGGUCUCUCGUUUUGUGGAUUGGGCAGAGCAUACUAAAAUUCCAAUCGUUGGGCAUGCUUUCGUCCGACCAUAUUUUACAAAGAAGCUGAUGCAUGCUGCUUAGCAGUUCUUUGCCGCCGUGUUUGAAUAGCUCGGCCGGUAAUCCAUCGGCAGCCGCUGCUUUGUUGUUCUUCAGAAAGGGUAAUUGCUAUUCGAACUUCUUCAUGGUCAGGCAAUGGAACGUCUGCUCUAUCGUCAUCGAUUGGGGAAUUGGGUUCGCCUUCUCCUGUCGUUGUGCGUUCAUUGCGUUCGGUCACUAGAUCACCUUUGGGGGUUCUACAAGAAUAUGCUCCGGUCUUGAAACCUUCAGUUAGCCGCCGCUUCUUUUCGUAGAUUUUUCGAGCAUUGCCCCUGUCGGCCAGCUUAUCAAGCUCUUCAUACUCACGCAUUUCGUCCUCUUUCUUUUUCUGUCUGCAAAUGCGUCUCGCUUCCCUCUUCAACUCUCGCUAUCUAUCACAUCCCACACGUGUUGUGGUCGAUCGUAGCGUUGCGAGGUAGGCAGCCUGUUUUCUCUCCGCUGCGACACGGCACUCCUCGUCGUACCAGCUGUUCUUUUGCAUUUUUCGAAAACCAAUGGUUUCGGUUGCAGCUGUAUGUAAGGAGUUUGAAAUGCCGUACCACAGUUCCCUUAUACCGAGUUGUUGACGAGUGCUCUCAGAGAGUAGGAGUGCAAGUCGAGUAGAAAAUCCUUCGGCUAUUUGUUGUGAUUGUGGCUUCUCGACGUCGAACCUUCCUUGUGUUUGUUGGCGUGCGUUUUUUGCUACACAGAGGCGGGUGCGAAUCUGGGCUGCAACAAGAUAGUGGUCCCAGUCGAUGUUAGGACCUCGGAGCGCGAGCACCUAAAACACUGGAGACGUGACUUCCGUCUAUCAUAAUAUGAUCGAUCUGGCUGGUGGUUUUUCGAUCCGGAGACAGCCAGAUGGCUUGUUGAAUCUUCUUAUACUGGAAUCUAUCUAGUACUACAGAUAACCAUAUUUCAGGCCCCCGGCGAAGUCGAUCAGCCUCAACCCAUUUGGGGAUGUUUCCUAGUGGAGGCUGAAUUUUCCGGCCGUAGUGCCAAAGCUACCUUCUUUACCCACCUUGGCGUUAACGUCGGCAAGCACGAUUUGACAUCGUGGCAGGAGCAGCUCUCAUAUGCGCGCUCCAAGUGCUCAUAGAAGGCAUCUUUGGUCACAUCGUCCUUAUCUUCCCUCGGGGCGUGGGCGCAAAUCAGCGAUAUGUUGAAGAACCUCGCUUUGGUGCGGAUUGUGGCUAGACGUUCAUUCACCGGAGUGAAUGAUAGUACUCGGCGACGGAGUCUCUCUCCCACCACGAAUCCCACACCAAACGUGCGCUCCUUUAAAUGGCCACUGUGGUAAAUGUCACAAGGACCUACUCGUUUCAGUCCUUGUCCCGUCCAUCGAAUUUCUUGAACGGCGGUGAUGUCUGCUUAUAUUUUCACUGGGACAUCAACCAGCUGGGCAGCGGCACCUUCCCAAUUAAGGGAACGGAUAUUCCAGGUGCAUGCCCUAAUAUCGCAGUACUUAUUUCGUUUGCCAUGGUCGUCAUCAAAGGGGGGGUUUCUCAUCCGAGGCUGUUGGUAGUUUUUCAUUGGUAUAGUUUUGUUUAACGUGGCGGGUCCCAAACCCAGCGCACAACCCUAUAUAAGGGAUGUUUCGCCUUCUCACUUUAGCUCGCCUUCAAACAGAUGAUCUUAGGCUACCCAGAGGAUACUUGGUCAAAGACCGGAAGUAGUGAGCUGCUUGAGCCAUGUGUAAAAGAAUCGUUUCUGGCCACUUCCAAGUGAAUGGCGAUCAGAGAACUUUCCUCACUUGCGUGAACUUCUACACAUGACCCCAUCCUCCUGAAAUAGACUAUAAUGAAUUAAAAUAACUUCGAAAUAAAUUAGUCAAAAAUUAUUUUCAUGAUUUGGAAAUACAGGCUUUCCUGGCAAAUACGAAACAUGUGAACAAAAAAUACAUAUGAUAGGCAGUGUAUUUCAUUCUCAAAAUUUUCGAGAUAUUCGAAUGUAAUUAUUGUUCUAAGUAUAUUUUUGAGUAAAUAUUCCCGCUACGAAUUGUUCAAUAGAAAGAUAAUUUUCCAGUUUAAAAAAAUGUAAAACUUAUGUACGCCCAAGUAUGGGUAGAGAUAACAGAAAUCUUUGGCAAUACUGACUAUUAAAGCUUAUAUAUUUCAAGAAAUACAAGUAGAUUACAGUGUUAUAGUUUAUAUUUUGCAUGGACAUUUGCCAGGAAAAAGAUACUUAUAAAUUGAACAAUACAUAAUAAGUCGAGAAAUAUCCUAAUUAGUAGUUUUUAGGUAAGAGUUUAAUAAAUUUUUCUUUGUAUUUAAAUUGUAAA